RNAcentral lists this ribosomal RNA (497 nucleotides) under uncultured bacterium. RNAcentral's name for it is "partial 16S ribosomal RNA". It matches the Rfam family "Bacterial small subunit ribosomal RNA", at positions 28 to 507 of the family's 1533-position model. The record is from RNAcentral.
GAUGAACGCUGGCGGCGUGCCUAAUACAUGCCAGUCGAGCGAACGGACGAGAAGCUUGCUUCUCUGAUGUUAGCGGCGGACGGGUGAGUAACACGUGGAUAACCUACCUAUAAGACUGGGAUAACUUCGGGAAACCGGAGCUAAUACCGGAUAAUAUUUUGAACCGCAUGGUUCAAAAGUGAAAGACGGUCUUGCUGUCACUUAUAGAUGGAUCCGCGCUGCAUUAGCUAGUUGGUAAGGUAACGGCUUACCAAGGCAACGAUGCAUAGCCGACCUGAGAGGGUGAUCGGCCACACUGGAAUUGAGACACGGUCCAGACUCCUACGGGAGGCAGCAGUAGGGAAUCUUCCGCAAUGGGCGAAAGCCUGACGGAGCAACGCCGCGUGAGUGGUGAAGGUCUUCGGAUCGUAAAACUCUGUUAUUAGGGAAGAACAUAUGUGUAAGUAACUGUGCACAUCUUGACGGUACCUAAUCAGAAAGCCACGGCUAACUACGUG